This 468-nucleotide ribosomal RNA is filed under the name uncultured bacterium. RNAcentral describes it as "partial 16S ribosomal RNA". It matches the Rfam family "Bacterial small subunit ribosomal RNA", at positions 28 to 507 of the family's 1533-position model. The record is from RNAcentral.
GACGAACGCUGGCGGCGGGCUUAACACAUGCAAGUCGAACGGAAAGGCCCUGCUUUUGUGGGGUGCUCGAGUGGCGAACGGGGGAGUAACACGUGAGUAACCUGCCCUUGACUUUGGGAUAACUUCAGGAAACUGGGGCUAAUACCGGAUAGGAGCUGCUGCUGCAGGGUGGGGGGUGGAAAGUUUCGGCGGUUGGGGAUGGACUCGCGGCUGAUGAGCUUGUUGGUGGGGUAGUGGCUUGCCAAGGCUUUGACGGGUAGCCGGCCUGGGAGGGUGACCGGCGUCCUUGGGCCUGCGAUAGGGCCCAGUGUCCUACGUGGGGCAACAGUGGGAAGUCUUGCCCAGUGGGCGGAAGCCUGAUGCAGCAACGCCGCGUGCGGGAUGCCGGCCUUCGGGUUGUGAACAGCUUUCGCCUAUGACGCCGCGUGACUGACGGUACUGGGUGAAGAAGCACCGGCUAACUACGUG